RNAcentral lists this ribosomal RNA (1469 nucleotides) under uncultured organism. Its description in RNAcentral is "SSU rRNA". It matches the Rfam family "Bacterial small subunit ribosomal RNA". The record is from RNAcentral.
GGCUCAGGACGAACGCUGGCGGCGUGCCUAAUACAUGCAAGUAGAACGCUGAAGAGAGGAGCUUGCUCUUCUUGGAUGAGUUGCGAACGGGUGAGUAACGCGUAGGUAACCUGCCUUGUAGCGGGGGAUAACUAUUGGAAACGAUAGCUAAUACCGCAUAACAAUGGAUGACACAUGUCAUUUAUUUGAAAGGGGCAAUUGCUCCACUACAAGAUGGACCUGCGUUGUAUUAGCUAGUAGGUGAGGUAAUGGCUCACCUAGGCGACGAUACAUAGCCGACCUGAGAGGGUGAUCGGCCACACUGGGACUGAGACACGGCCCAGACUCCUACGGGAGGCAGCAGUAGGGAAUCUUCGGCAAUGGGGGCAACCCUGACCGAGCAACGCCGCGUGAGUGAAGAAGGUUUUCGGAUCGUAAAGCUCUGUUGUAAGUCAAGAACGGGUGUGAGAGUGGAAAGUUCACACUGUGACGGUAGCUUACCAGAAAGGGACGGCUAACUACGUGCCAGCAGCCGCGGUAAUACGUAGGUCCCGAGCGUUGUCCGGAUUUAUUGGGCGUAAAGCGAGCGCAGGCGGUUUGAUAAGUCUGAAGUUAAAGGCUGUGGCUCAACCAUAGUUCGCUUUGGAAACUGUCAAACUUGAGUGCAGAAGGGGAGAGUGGAAUUCCAUGUGUAGCGGUGAAAUGCGUAGAUAUAUGGAGGAACACCGGUGGCGAAAGCGGCUCUCUGGUCUGUAACUGACGCUGAGGCUCGAAAGCGUGGGGAGCGAACAGGAUUAGAUACCCUGGUAGUCCACGCCGUAAACGAUGAGUGCUAGGUGUUGGAUCCUUUCCGGGAUUCAGUGCCGCAGCUAACGCAUUAAGCACUCCGCCUGGGGAGUACGACCGCAAGGUUGAAACUCAAAGGAAUUGACGGGGGCCCCCACAAGCGGUGGAGCAUGUGGUUUAAUUCGAAGCAACGCGAAGAACCUUACCAGGUCUUGACAUCCCGAUGCUAUUUCUAGAGAUAGAAAGUUACUUCGGUACAUCGGUGACAGGUGGUGCAUGGUUGUCGUCAGCUCGUGUCGUGAGAUGUUGGGUUAAGUCCCGCAACGAGCGCAACCCCUAUUGUUAGUUGCCAUCAUUCAGUUGGGCACUCUAGCGAGACUGCCGGUAAUAAACCGGAGGAAGGUGGGGAUGACGUCAAAUCAUCAUGCCCCUUAUGACCUGGGCUACACACGUGCUACAAUGGUUGGUACAACGAGUUGCGAGUCGGUGACGGCGAGCUAAUCUCUUAAAGCCAAUCUCAGUUCGGAUUGUAGGCUGCAACUCGCCUACAUGAAGUCGGAAUCGCUAGUAAUCGCGGAUCAGCACGCCGCGGUGAAUACGUUCCCGGGCCUUGUACACACCGCCCGUCACACCACGAGAGUUUGUAACACCCGAAGUCGGUGAGGUAACCUUUUGGAGCCAGCCGCCUAAGGUGGGACAGAUGA